This 483-nucleotide ribosomal RNA is filed under the name uncultured bacterium. Its description in RNAcentral is "partial 16S ribosomal RNA". It matches the Rfam family "Bacterial small subunit ribosomal RNA", at positions 28 to 507 of the family's 1533-position model. The record is from RNAcentral.
GACGAACGCUGGCGGCGUGCUUAACACAUGCAAGUCGAACGCUGAAGCUCAGCUUUUGUUGGGUGGAUGAGUGGCGAACGGGUGAGUAACACGUGAGUAACCUGCCCCCUUCUUUGGGAUAACGCCCGGAAACGGGUGCUAAUACUGGAUAUUCACUGGUCUUCGCAUGGGGGUUGGUGGAAAGGGUUUUUCUGGUGGGGGAUGGGCUCGCGGCCUAUCAGCUUGUUGGUGGGGUGAUGGCCUACCAAGGCUUUGACGGGUGGCCGGCCGGGGGGGGUGACCGGUCACAUUGGGACUGAGAUACGGCCCAGACUCCUACGGGAGGCAGCAGUGGGGAAUAUUGCACAAUGGGCGCAAGCCUGAUGCAGCGACGCCGCGUGAGGGAUGGAGGCCUUCGGGUUGUGAACCUCUUUCGCUCAUGGUCAAGCCGCAACAAUGGUUGUGGUGAGGGUAGUGGGUAAAGAAGCGCCGGCUAACUACGUG